Molecule: ribosomal RNA, 538 nt
Filed under: Streptomyces sp. FM5
Lineage: Bacteria; Bacillati; Actinomycetota; Actinomycetes; Kitasatosporales; Streptomycetaceae
Description: bacterial SSU rRNA
Rfam family: Bacterial small subunit ribosomal RNA
Source: RNAcentral
GGGACGGGGUUGAAAGCUCCGGCGGUGAAGGAUGAGCCCGCGGCCUAUCAGCUUGUUGGUGGGGUAAUGGCCUACCAAGGCGACGACGGGUAGCCGGCCUGAGAGGGCGACCGGCCACACUGGGACUGAGACACGGCCCAGACUCCUACGGGAGGCAGCAGUGGGGAAUAUUGCACAAUGGGCGAAAGCCUGAUGCAGCGACGCCGCGUGAGGGAUGACGGCCUUCGGGUUGUAAACCUCUUUCAGCAGGGAAGAAGCGAAAGUGACGGUACCUGCAGAAGAAGCGCCGGCUAACUACGUGCCAGCAGCCGCGGUAAUACGUAGGGCGCAAGCGUUGUCCGGAAUUAUUGGGCGUAAAGAGCUCGUAGGCGGCUUGUCACGUCGGAUGUGAAAGCCCGGGGCUUAACCCCGGGUCUGCAUUCGAUACGGGCUAGCUAGAGUUUGGUAGGGGAGAUCGGAAUUCCUGGUGUAGCGGUGAAAUGCCCAGAUAUCAGGAGGAACACCGGUGGCGAAGGCGGAUCUCUGGGCCAUUACUGAC